RNAcentral lists this ribosomal RNA (377 nucleotides) under uncultured bacterium. Its description in RNAcentral is "bacterial SSU rRNA". It matches the Rfam family "Bacterial small subunit ribosomal RNA", at positions 790 to 1167 of the family's 1533-position model. The record is from RNAcentral.
GUAGUCCUUGCUGUAAACUAUGUAUACUUGGUGUAGCCGGAAUCAACCCUGGCUGUGCCGGAGCUAACGCGUUAAGUAUACCGCCUGGGGAGUACAGUCGCAAGGCUGAAACUCAAAAGAAUUGACGGGGACCCGCACAAGCAGUGGAGCAUGUGGUUUAAUUCGAUGCAACGCGAAGAACCUUACCCAGACUUGACAUGCAGUAGACAGCUCCAGAAAUGGAGUCUUCCUUCGGGACUGCUGCACAGGUGCUGCAUGGCUGUCGUCAGCUCGUGCCGUGAGGUGUUGGGUUAAGUCCCGCAACGAGCGCAACCCUUAUCGUUAGUUGCCAACAUUUAAGGUGGGAACUCUAACGAGACUGCCUGGGUUAACCAGGA